CAGCCGCCGCGGUAAUACGUAGGUGGCAAGCGUUGUCCGGAAUUAUUGGGCGUAAAGGGCUCGCAGGCGGUUUCUUAAGUCUGAUGUGAAAGCCCCCGGCUCGACCGGGGAGGGUCAUUGGAAACUGGGAAACUUGAGUGCAGAAGAGGAGAGUGGAAUUCCACGUGUAGCGGUGAAAUGCGUAGAGAUGUGGAGGAACACCAGUGGCGAAGGCGACUCUCUGGUCUGUAACUGACGCUGAGGAGCGAAAGCGUGGGGAGCGAACAGGAUUAGAUACCCCUGUAGUCCCUGUCUCUUAUAC
RNAcentral lists this ribosomal RNA (301 nucleotides) under uncultured bacterium. RNAcentral's name for it is "partial 16S ribosomal RNA". It matches the Rfam family "Bacterial small subunit ribosomal RNA", at positions 509 to 807 of the family's 1533-position model. The record is from RNAcentral.